CAUCGCUCUGAUAGGAGGGGAAAACUAGGAGGUUGUCCAUGGAGGAAGCACAGUUGUAUUAUUCAUAAAGAAAUAGAAACAAGACAGGAAUAUCUGAAUUUUACUUAGAAGGACAUGUUUACUGCUCACUGAUUACUCAAUAUGCCGCAACGGAAGCAGAGGAUUUGCACAGAUGUCACGACGAAGUAAGAAUCUAUCUAAUCUACAAACGACGGCCGAUAAACAGAAAGUCAUUCAUUUCCUAUGGAGAGUUGCAAAGUCGCUGCGUGAGAGUAUGAGAUCAAUAAAGAAUGUUGCCCCAUGUGUGCACCUGGAAGCCAUGUUUAUAGGUAUUGCACAAAAUAUGUCAGCACGACUCACACGUGCGCCGUGUGUUGACUCUUUCACUUCUGAGCCAACUGAUCUUCUACAAUGCUUUAGCUGUGCAGUGUGUGAUUCUGGCCAAGGCUUACAAGUAAAAACAGCCUGCACAAGAAUUUCAGAUACAGUUUGUGAGCCACUAGAGGGAAUGUACUGUACUAAUUAUGAGAAGGGUAGUUGUACACAGGCUGUGGAACACACACAGUGUAGCCCUGGACAAUAUAUAAAGCAGAAAGGAACAGCACGUGAAGAUGCCGAAUGUGCUGAAUGUAAAAAUGGUACCUACUCUGAUGGCUCACUUGACAUGUGCAGGCAACAUACAAAGUGUGAAGAUUUAGGACUUGAAGCAAUUAAACCAGGAACAAUGAUAUCUGAUGUUGAGUGUGGAAAUAAAAUCAAUUUAGUGGCCCUUAUAGUUGGAAUCAUAGUUUUCAUUGCAGUUGUGGCUGUUGCAGUGGUCCUUUUUGUCAAAAUUAGACAUAAGAUUAGCCGACGUUCAGGUAAGUGUUUCAAACUAAUCUUAUUAAAUAGAUUACAUUAUAAGAAAAUGCUGAUUACAAAACUAAUUUUCUAAAAACUGUCCUUUUUAAACAGUUCGGAAUGCUGAGAAGGAACGAGGGUGUGUCCUGCCUUGAUGCCGCCCGAUGACGCCUGAGAUAGGCACAGGCUCCCCGUGACCCGAGGUAGUUCGGAUAAGCGGUAGAAGAUGAAUGAAUGAAUGAAUGAAUGAAUGUUACUUUUCUCAUAUAUCUAUAGAAAAGUGAUUUUAAUUUUGUUUUUCCUAUCCAAGAAAACACUCACUCCAUAGACAGUAUUUCUAUAAUAAGAGAACUUACAGAACAGAAGAUCAGGACACGAGGUGAACACGCUGUCCUUACUGGGGAUCUAGACAUCAGAGUCAUAAUAAAGGAAGAAAAAUGCAAUGCCAGAGCCUCCUUUUAGGGACUGGAAUGGACUGCAUUACUGCUGGACGUCACUGCAUUCAUCUGAAAUGAAUGAUCAGAAGUCUGAUCAGAAGAGUCACUUCCUUGUCUGAAGAGCUGCCUCUUUAAUAAUCAAGAUGAACCCAACACUAAUUUCUCUCUGUGAGGGUUUUAGCUUGAUGGAGGACUUAUUAUUGUAGUGAGACGAUGAGAAAUAACACUUAACUCUUGACUUGUUUUUAUUUGGAGGAAUUUCACAGAGACAACAUUUUAUAUUGUACUUAACUCUAGGACAUAGGCUGCUGGAGAAAACAGGAAAAAAUAGUGCUUUGAAAUUCUGCUUGCUAUCAAAAUUUCACAAGAAGUUAUUCAAAAAGGGAUAAUUGUGCAUGUGCAAGUUUUGAAACAUUUACUUUAAUAUUGUUUAUUUUAUUUUGUAGAACAAAUUAUUUACAACAAAUUCCAACUUAAAUUACAAUAAAGCAUAAAUUACAAAAUAACCAUUAA
Tachysurus vachellii is the source of this 1790-nucleotide RNA transcript. It is a transcript of the gene named tumor necrosis factor receptor superfamily member 14-like, with no coding region annotated. The record is from RefSeq and is a predicted model, not a curated record. Lineage: Eukaryota; Metazoa; Chordata; Actinopteri; Siluriformes; Bagridae. The transcript is spliced from 8 exons.